RNAcentral lists this ribosomal RNA (438 nucleotides) under uncultured bacterium. Its description in RNAcentral is "bacterial SSU rRNA". It matches the Rfam family "Bacterial small subunit ribosomal RNA", at positions 338 to 793 of the family's 1533-position model. The record is from RNAcentral.
CCUACGGGGGGCAGCAGUGGGGAAUAUUGCACAAUGGGGGAAACCCUGAUGCAGCGACGCCGCGUGAGGGAAGAAGGUUUUCGGAUUGUAAACCUCUGUCUUUGGUGACGAAAGAUGACGGUAGCCAAAGAGGAAGCUACGGCUAACUACGUGCCAGCAGCCGCGGUAAUACGUAGGUGGCAAGCGUUGUCCGGAAUUACUGGGUGUAAAGGGAGCGUAGGCGGGAAGACAAGUUGAAUGUUUAAACUAUCGGCUCAACCGAUAAUCGCGUUCAAAACUGUUUUUCUUGAGUGAAGUAGAGGCAGGCGGAAUUCCUAGUGUAGCGGUGAAAUGCGUAGAUAUUAGGAGGAACACCAGUGGCGAAGGCGGCCUGCUGGGCUUUAACUGACGCUGAGGCUCGAAAGCGUGGGUAGCAAACAGGAUUAGAUACCCCUGUAG